This 1735-nucleotide long non-coding RNA is filed under the name Pongo abelii (Sumatran orangutan). RNAcentral's name for it is "lincRNA". The record is from RNAcentral. Lineage: Eukaryota; Metazoa; Chordata; Mammalia; Primates; Hominidae.
CGGUCAUGCAGCAGCCAUUUUGGAUCUGAGAGAGUCGGCCAUGCAGCAGCCAUUUGCGCAUCCUUCCCUUCUCCCAGCCCCACAGGAGGCUGUCUCUGCAUCCUGCCUCCUUUCAAAUGCAUCCUGUGCCAACAGUUUCUGAAAACUGAUAAACAAAUUGACAACCUCAAAUGCAAAGAUGAAACAUUUCUCCAGAUCAUCAGGCACAUGGUUUACUCAGGCCCAGAGGAGUGAGCUGAUAUAAAGAAGCUGUGCCACACAGUCAGAUGGGGUCCGAAGGAAACAAUAGGGCUGAGUGAUGAGUAUUGAAGAAGAAAUCUAAAGAAAGAAUGUCUUAUCAGCUGACCGCAAAGCUGCCUCCUUCUACCUGGCCACAUUGCUUAUCUAUUGUACUGUGUCUCUCUUGGAUGGAAAUGAUACACCAAUCACUCAAAAGUGAAUAAUUUGCUUCUAAAUCACAGGCCUACACCUGAGGUGGCUGCCACAGGUGCAGCCUGUUUAGACCAGCAAUUAUAUUUACUCCAUGAUGACAGAAAACAGGAAAGAUGUAUCAUACAGUGGAUUUGCUCCUGCUAUUUAUAAAUAGACCUCUUUACAUUAGCACUACAUAUGAUUGUCUCAUCCACUUAUCAGCAAUUUAAUAUAUCACAGACAACAUGGGUUAAAAGCAAAAUAAGUUUCAAACACUAAUCUUAGUUUACUCAUAAGUAUUUCACUUCUACAAACCUUGUUUAUUCAAGCUAUGGUUCUAUACAAAUUGGCAAGUCAUUCUUUAUUUUACCUUUCUGUGGUUCUAGACCCUUCUAGACUAAAGAUCCCUGACGUUACUGCUGCCUUUUCUAGAUGUUUUCCUGAGUACAAAUGUGAGCUUAUUGUUAACACCAGUCUCUUUCUCUUUAAGAACUGGUUUUUCUCUGAUGGCUCUGGUCUAAGAGAGCUCACUCUGGAUUUCUCUGUUAGUUUUCUAACAUAACCCACAGUGAGAAAUCUAUUUUACAUUGGGAAUAAGGGAAUAUUUAUGCGUAAAGUCAAACAAAAUUGAAGUUUACUUAUGCUUUUUUGCACUUUGAUAUUUUCUAUAUAUUCUGCCAUGUUCCCUAAUAUUCUCUGUUAUUCUAUUUUAUUUUUAAGAAAAUGAUUGGUCUCUACCCACACAAUGAUUCUGCAAUCCACUGUUGGAACGUGAUGCACAGCCUCAAGCCACUGUGUGGGAGCUUCCUCAUCAGAAGGGAGGGGUACCAGGGGGUGUGGUGAUGUGGCCCUGGGUGUGGGAAUUCCCAAAAGGGCAGCUCUGGUAGCAGCCUCUCAUCUAUAGUAUCAUAUUUUCAGUGUCAUCGUGACGCAGAGAAGUAGAAGAUUCAAGACUUUGGAAAACAGCCAUUUUCUCUCAAUUACAAGAAUAAUAACAGUAUUUGAAAGAUCCUAAAAGUGGUGAAGAUGGAGUAAGUGUUUGGUAGGGAAUCCCUGCCCCAGCUGAUCAUUAUGUCUGCCUUGGCUGUACAUGUGUCUUAGUGUCAUUUCUGAACUAUCACCCAGAGAGGCGGGUUAAGACAGGUUAAGACCACAGAGUCAGACCUCUUGGAGUUGAAUCCUGACACCACUGCAUUCUAGCUGUGUGACUUUAGAAAGUCCCUUAGCCUCUAUGAAAUUUAGUUUGCUCAAUCAGAAAAUGAGAAUAAUGACACUGUUCAUCUUAUAAAAUUGUUGCAAGGAUUAAAUAAACUACCAGAUGGAA